This 452-nucleotide ribosomal RNA is filed under the name uncultured bacterium. Its description in RNAcentral is "bacterial SSU rRNA". It matches the Rfam family "Bacterial small subunit ribosomal RNA", at positions 8 to 507 of the family's 1533-position model. The record is from RNAcentral.
AGAGUUUGAUCAUGGCUCAGAGCGAACGCUGGCGGCAGGCCUAAUACAUGCAAGUCGAGCGGGUCCUUCGGGAUUAGCGGCGGACGGGUGAGUAACGCGUGGGAACGUGCCCUUUGGUACGGAACAACUGAGGGAAACUUCAGCUAAUACCGUAUGUGCCCUUCGGGGAAAGAUUUAUCGCCAUUGGAGCGGCCCGCGUUGGAUUAGGUAGUUGGUGUGGUAAAGGCUCACCAAGCCUACGAUCCAUAGCUGGUCUGAGAGGAUGACCAGCCACACUGGGACUGAGACACGGCCCAGACUCCUACGGGAGGCAGCAGUAGGGAAUCUUGCGCAAUGGGCGAAAGCCUGACGCAGCCAGGCCGCGUGAAUGAUGAAGGUCUUAGGAUUGUAAAAUUCUUUCACCGGGGACGAUAAUGACGGUACCCGGAGAAGAAGCCCUGGCUAACUUCGUG